This is a long non-coding RNA of Belonocnema kinseyi, 911 nucleotides long. RefSeq lists it as uncharacterized. Lineage: Eukaryota; Metazoa; Arthropoda; Insecta; Hymenoptera; Cynipidae. The transcript has 3 exons. The record is from RefSeq and is a predicted model, not a curated record.
GUCAUUUGAAUUCCGCAUAAUUCAAACGAAUUCUUAGUAUUUUUCUCUUUUGAAUUCUUUUUCUAAGAUUUAAUGUCUCACCUCUCAGUUACCAUGUGAAGUUGCAUCUCGCUAGAGACGUGAGAAAUCUCCUGGAACCAUUGUGGGAGGUAACCACAGAGGUGUGCGCUGAAAAAUCCGUAACUUUGAGCAAAUGUAGCCCGCCAGCCUCGAUCGUUUACACAAACCUAGAGCAUUAUCCUGUGAAUCAUCUUGGUACUUUUAAUCUAAAAUAUAGAUUACUCAGGGAACUUAAAACGAGGAUUCGCAAUCUGGAAAAAGUAGGGAUCGCUGUGAUCGCUACUAUCUUCGAUCCCCGUUUCAAAAAACGCCACUUCCAGAGUGCUCUGAAUGUGGGAACUGCUGUUUUGACAAUCGGAAAUCUAAUCAAAUAAAAAGCCAGGGUGCAAGCGAAUCCCGAACUGGAAGCUGGCCGUGUAACACUAGCACCGCCAGCUGGUGUUAACAAAAAGAAAAUAUGGAUCGACCAUAAUGCCAAGAGGACUGAACAAUCUCCUGACACCGACCAGGAUGAAGCAGGAGGUAUAGCAAUAGAGCUUCGCCAGUAUUUAAGCAGGCCUGUUGUUCCACAGGAAACCAACCCUUACCAGGAGUGGGACAACAUGAAGUCGCAAUAUCCCCGGCUCUACGAACUGGCCAUGGAAUAUCUGCCAAUCCUCGCAGCUUCAGUUCCGUCGGAAAGGCUUUUCUCGAAAGCAGGCCUUUUAGUAACGAAGCUACGAAACAGGCUUUCAGCGAAACAUAUUAACCAGUUGGUAUUUCUUUCGUCAGUUGAACGGUAAUUUUGGAUGUGUUGAGAUGCAUAAAUUUUAAGGUUAAAAUUGUAAAUACGGCAAAUACAUGUAACAACU